CUCACUCAACACUUUGAUCCAUUCUCGUGUCCAGGGCUUCACGUGAACUCGUCCUCCCCCGAACCGGAGCCAUCAAAUGUGACGCUUCCUUGUCUUUUAUUCUCUAUUCUCUCGCGUCCUCUCCUGUCCACUUCAGCUCCAGGCGCGCGCCACGGACCGGUGCUCACGACUCUCUGCUCCGGUCCCGAGGUGGCUCAUCAUCAGCGGGGUGAAGUGUUCUCACCGGCCGCUCGCUGCGAUGUCGCGCACGCGCCGCGGAACACAACGCCGUGCAGUCCGACGGGGCUCCCCAUUUAUCGGCGGCCGAUUCGCCGGUUCAGGAAGCGCGGAGGUCGACGGUGGUCGCGGUGGCCGGGCGAAUCUCCAUUCAAGGCAUCCGCCGCCGCCGCCGCCCGGUGGAGGAUGGUCCGCCUGACGGAGGAGGUCCAAGCCCCCGGGUGCGAUUGGGCAACCGGUGUUACCAGGCUCCACGGUUUCCUCUCAUUUUCUGGAGGAGCGAAAGAAGACGAAGAAGAAGAAGAAGAAGAAGAAGAAAAAAAAAAAAAAAGGAUGUGGAGGCUGUCAGAUGUGGAGGUACCACCUCUGUGGAACACAAUCUCCCCCGACAGAGAGAGAGAGAUAGAGAGAUAGAGAGAAAUCAAAAGAAAAGAAAAAAGGGCUAAAAAACAAGACCGCUCCGCGUCCGCAAGUUUUCGUUCUCUGGAACCGGGGGACGGCGGGAUUGUUUUAAGGUUGUCGAGGGCGGGGGUAGAAGAAGAAGAAGAAGAAGAAGAAGAAGAAGAAGAAGAAGAAAGAAGAAAAAAAAGGCAGAGCCGAAGCUACAUAAUGCUGAUUUCUUUUUCUUUUUUUUCUUUUUUUUGGGGGGAUGUUUGUCUUUUUCUCUGCCGGGUUUUUUUUCUUCUCUUUCUCCUCUCUCCUCUCUUGUCUCUGGCGUGUUGCCCCCUCCGAGUCUUCGACGCUGCUUGACAGCGGCACAUCCAAUAAAAGCAGCCGCGAGGAUUGACCUCCAGCCUCCGAUGACGUCAAUGCAAAUGAGCUGCGCGCGGCUAAUCGGCGUCGCGCUCGGCGCCGCUGGGUGGUCCCGGCGUUUCCGUGGGAACUUUGAAAAGCGAGGAGGAGAGAACGAGAGGGAAAAAAAAAGAAGGGCAGAAGAGAGCCGUGCCGCGGGUGCACGACCAGACGUUUCUGUGUGCACAAAGCAAAACGAGUGAGUUCGCCCCACUCUCGUGUUACAGUGCUAAACAUCUUGGCGACCGUGUCGAAUCUACGGAGUGCCGUGAGGGCCAUACGUGACCUGGUUUAUCUUUAGUUAAAAUUGUCAGAGAAUGAUGUUUAUAAUGUCUAACAACUUGUAUAUGGGCCUUGAAACAACAACAACAACGAGUAUAAAUGUACAUUUACACUGAAAUGAGAAAUGAUAUAUAUAUAUGUAUGUAUUUACACUUGAUUAUUGUGAAAUGUUGGUUCAUCUGUGAGGGAAUUUGUGGAAGUCGAUAGUUUCUUUUCAUCACUCAUUGACUUGACAAUAACUUUUUCAUUAAAUCAGUAUUGCACUCAUUUUGUCGGCGUUCGACACUAAAAUUUCCGCGCCGUUUGCAGUCUUUUCCUCUCCCAGGGGAGAUGGGCUCUCACUUGGGUUGUCUCAGUACGACCAGGACUCACUCCGUGUACUUCCUUGACUGUAACCUGCGCCGCAAGGUUUCACCGGACCUCACCUUGUCCCUAUACGGAGUGCCCUCUAGAGUUGCCAAAACGAGAGGAAGUUCCCUAUUGGCUGCCCUUCAAGUGGGAACAAAAAUGAUUGAACGCCCUCUAGUGUGCCCUCGUCAUGCAAUACAUUUUGACGAUGUGCCCUUUAGAGUAAGAAAACAUGACAACGUGUCUUAAUGAGUGCCCUUCUAGUGGAGAAAAUGUUGCGCAGUGCCCUAUAAGGUACCCCCUGACUUGGUCCAAACUUUGACGUUCCAAAAUGGGUGUCCUUUCAAUGGAAAAGGUGCCGUUAUGAAGUGCCCUCUAUGCCGCCCCUACAUGACAGUGCCCCAAAGGGAGCCCCUUCAGUGCUGUAUACAGAACUCCUACAGGUGAGAAAACAUGAUGAAGUGCACUCUUAGAUGUGCAAGUAAGAAAAGGGCCUGCCUCUAUGCACUCUUUGUUAGGGUUCCUGUUCUGUUCUUCAAAUGCAAUAGUAUUUCUGAGUUAUGAGACGCCUUGUUACGCGUCGCAGUAUGGAUGACGUUCAUUUCUAUUCUUGAUAAUCGUUGAAUAACAAUCCUGUUGAUGCAAGGAUCAAAGGCAAUCAUUGUCCUGUGAUAUAGUAUGACACACCACUGUGAUCUAGCACACCCCCACUUCUGAGUUCAAAGUGAUCAGAGGCACGUUUAUUUCUAUGAUCUUGGAUCUCAUGUACAUAAGCUAAGGUACAACUCACACACACACAAACAAACACACACUCUCUCACACAAAUGGGCCCCAUGUCGUUCAGUAGGUUCCUUUUUUUUGUUUUGCCCCUGCCCCUCAAACAGCCUGAAUCCGCCACUGGAACUGCAACUAGUAUAAAAUGGGUAUUGGAUGAUUUACCAUACAGUCCAUGUGUGGCGGAAGUGCAAUACACUGGUAAGCAUAGGUUAACGUGCCAACUGAAUCCGGGUGUGAUGUCAAGGUGGGCUGUAUGGAUCCUAUAAUCUCAAAAAAUGCUGCAUCCUACAUUACCAUAAAGCAACCAGUGGCAUUUUUUUUUUAAUUAGAACGCCCUGGUAAACACCCAUAUUUUAAACUCGCUCUAAGUUUGUCAUGCAGGCUUUGCGUCAAGAUUCUUCAAGCUCAAGUUGAGUCGAUAACAACAUCAGGGUUGUUUUCUUUGACUCAACAAAGGUCCUCACAGGCAGAGUCGUACUCCCCAUGACAACUGACCUUUAUGUGUAAAACUGGUGGAGUUCCCCCUUUAAUGUUCGUCCAAUGGAGCAAGUGUGCGUUACCUUUUGAGAUCAAUGAGAUUCAACAGAGUAUUCUGUUAAUUUUCAGUGGGGGACUGGAGUACUAGCAAUCUUUUCACAUCACAGACCGAUAUUAAUUCCAUUUUUAUAUUCCCGUUUUUUUUUUUUGAGCUUUAACAAAUCAAAUGAGGGUGUGGUUAAGUUGCUUCAAUCAGGGCAUUAAAGGAGAAUCUGUAAAUCACAGCUUUAAACGGUAUAUUGCUUUUCAAGAACGCAAAAUUGAAAAAUCUAAUUCAAAUAAUGUUCAGUCUUGAAUAAAUCUAUGUCAGAGAUAUGA
Scophthalmus maximus (turbot) is the source of this 3270-nucleotide long non-coding RNA. RefSeq lists it as uncharacterized. Lineage: Eukaryota; Metazoa; Chordata; Actinopteri; Pleuronectiformes; Scophthalmidae. The transcript is spliced from 2 exons. The record is from RefSeq and is a predicted model, not a curated record.